AUGGGCCAUGGCUCCUGGAAUGGGCUAUGGCUGAAAUCUACAUGGCCCCAGGAUGGGACUGCGGCCGAUCAGGUUGUUGGUGGGGUAAUGGCCCACCAAGCCUAUAACCGGUGCGGGCUCUGAGAGGAGGAGCCCGGAGAUGGGCACUGAGACAAGGGCCCAGGUCCUAUGGGGCGCAGCAGGCGCGAAACCUCCGCAAUGGGUGAAAGCCCGACGGGGUCAGUCCGAGUGGUUCCCGCUGAGGGAACCUUUUGCCAGCUGUAAACAGGCUGGCGAAUAAGGGGUGGGCAAGUUUGGUGUCAGCCGCCGCGGUAAUACCAGCACCCCGAGUGGUCGGGACGAUUAUUGGGCCUAAAGCAUCCGUAGCCGGCCCAGUAAGUCCUCCGUUAAAUCCAACGGCUCAACCGUUGGGCUGCGGGGGAUACUGCUGGGCUAGGGGACGGGAGAGGCGAGGGGUAUUCCCGGGGUAGGGGUAAAAUCCACUGAUCCCGGGAGGACCACCAGUGGCGAAGGCGCCUCGCUAGAACGUGCCCGACGGUGAGGGAUGAAAGCUGGGGGAGCGAACCGGAUUAGAUACCCGGGUAGUCCCAGCCGUAAACGAUGUAGGCUCGGUGUUGGGCUGCCUCAGUGGCAGCCCAGUGCCGCAGGGAAGCCGUUAAGCCUACCGCCUGGGGAGUACGGCCGCAAGGCUGAAACUUAAAGGAAUUGGCGGGGGAGCACCACAAGGGGUGAAGCCUGCGGUUUAAUUGGA
RNAcentral lists this ribosomal RNA (751 nucleotides) under uncultured archaeon. Its description in RNAcentral is "bacterial SSU rRNA". It matches the Rfam family "Archaeal small subunit ribosomal RNA", at positions 156 to 910 of the family's 1478-position model. The record is from RNAcentral.